CAGGUCUUGACAUCCUCUGACAAUCCUAGAGAUAGGACGUUCCCCUUCGGGGGACAGAGUGACAGGUGGUGCAUGGUUGUCGUCAGCUCGUGUCGUGAGAUGUUGGGUUAAGUCCCGCAACGAGCGCAACCCUUGUCCUUAGUUGCCAGCAUUUAGUUGGGCACUCUAAGGAGACUGCCGGUGACAAACCGGAGGAAGGUGGGGAUGACGUCAAAUCAUCAUGCCCCUUAUGACCUGGGCUACACACGUGCUACAAUGGAUGGUACAAAGGGUUGCGAGACCGCGAGGUUUAGCCAAUCCCAUAAAACCAUUCUCAGUUCGGAUUGUAGGCUGCAACUCGCCUACAUGAAGCCGGAAUCGCUAGUAAUCGUGGAUCAGCAUGCCACGGUGAAUACGUUCCC
This 401-nucleotide ribosomal RNA is filed under the name uncultured soil bacterium. RNAcentral describes it as "bacterial SSU rRNA". It matches the Rfam family "Bacterial small subunit ribosomal RNA", at positions 975 to 1375 of the family's 1533-position model. The record is from RNAcentral.